CGAGAAGCAAUCGAAAUUACUGCGCAUAACCGACCCUAAGGUGAGUUAGCAUUCCGUCAUAGGCAAAAUAGGGAACAUGGAUUAUUUUUUAUUUAUUUUGCCUCGAGAAGCAAUCGAAAUUGCUGCGCAUAACCGACCCUAAGGUGAGUUAGCAUUCCGUCAUAGGCACAAUAGGGAACAUGGAUUAUUUUUUUUUUAUUUUGCAUCGAGAAGCAAUCGAAAUUGCUGCGCAUAACCGACCCUAAGGUGAGUUAGCAUUCCGUCAUAGGCAAAAUAGGGAACAUGGAUUAUUUUUUUUUUAUUUUGCAUCGAGAAGCAAUCGAAAUUACUGCGCAUAACCGACCCUAAGGUGAGUUAGCAUUCCGUCAUAGGCAAAAUAGGGAACAUGGAUUAUUUUUUUUUUAUUUUGCAUCGAGAAGCAAUCGAAAUUACUGCGCAUAACCGACCCUAAGGUGAGUUAGCAUUCCGUCAUAGGCAAAAUAGGGAACAUGGAUUAUUUUUUUUUUAUUUUGCAUCGAGAAGCAAUCGAAAUUACUGCGCAUAACCGACCCUAAGGUGAGUUAGCAUUCCGUCAUAGGCAAAAUAGGGAACAUGGAUUAUUUUUUUUUUAUUUUGCAUCGAGAAGCAAUCGAAAUUACUGCGCAUAACCGACCCUAAGGUGAGUUAGCAUUCCGUCAUAGGCAAAAUAGGGAACAUGGAUUAUUUUUUUUUUAUUUUGCAUCGAGAAGCAAUCGAAAUUACUGCGCAUAACCGACCCUAAGGUGAGUUAGCAUUCCGUCAUAGGCAAAAUAGGGAACAUGGAUUAUUUUUUAUUUAUUUUGCCUCGAGAAGCAAUCGAAAUUGCUGCGCAUAACCGACCCUAAGGUGAGUUAGCAUUCCGUCAUAGGCACAAUAGGGAACAUGGAUUAUUUUUUUUUUAUUUUGCAUCGAGAAGCAAUCGAAAUUGCUGCGCAUAACCGACCCUAAGGUGAGUUAGCAUUCCGUCAUAGGCAAAAUAGGGAACAUGGAUUAUUUUUUUUUUAUUUUGCAUCGAGAAGCAAUCGAAAUUACUGCGCAUAACCGACCCUAAGGUGAGUUAGCAUUCCGUCAUAGGCAAAAUAGGGAACAUGGAUUAUUUUUUUUUUAUUUUGCAUCGAGAAGCAAUCGAAAUUACUGCGCAUAACCGACCCUAAGGUGAGUUAGCAUUCCGUCAUAGGCAAAAUAGGGAACAUGGAUUAUUUUUUUUUUAUUUUGCAUCGAGAAGCAAUCGAAAUUACUGCGCAUAACCGACCCUAAGGUGAGUUAGCAUUCCGUCAUAGGCAAAAUAGGGAACAUGGAUUAUUUUUUUUUUAUUUUGCAUCGAGAAGCAAUCGAAAUUACUGCGCAUAACCGACCCUAAGGUGAGUUAGCAUUCCGUCAUAGGCAAAAUAGGGAACAUGGAUUAUUUUUUAUUUAUUUUGCCUCGAGAAGCAAUCGAAAUUGCUGCGCAUAACCGACCCUAAGGUGAGUUAGCAUUCCGUCAUAGGCACAAUAGGGAACAUGGAUUAUUUUUUUUUUAUU
This 1539-nucleotide long non-coding RNA is filed under the name Ananas comosus (pineapple). RNAcentral's name for it is "long non-coding RNA (ACOM_LNC034258)". The record is from RNAcentral. Lineage: Eukaryota; Viridiplantae; Streptophyta; Magnoliopsida; Poales; Bromeliaceae.